This 406-nucleotide unclassified non-coding RNA is filed under the name soil metagenome. RNAcentral's name for it is "partial contains 5.8S ribosomal RNA, internal transcribed spacer 2, and large subunit ribosomal RNA". The stretch from base 1 to 121 matches the Rfam family "5.8S ribosomal RNA", at positions 35 to 154 of the family's 154-position model. The record is from RNAcentral.
GAUGAAGAACGCAGCGAAAUGCGAUAAGUAAUGUGAAUUGCAGAAUUCAGUGAAUCAUCGAAUCUUUGAACGCACCUUGCGCCCUUUGGCCAUUCCGAAGGGCAUGCCUGUUUGAGUAUCAUGAACACCUCAACUCUUCAUGGUUUUCCAUGAUGAGCUUGGACUUUGGGGGUCUUGCUGGCUUGUGGGUCGGCUCCUCUCAAAUGAAUCAGCUUGCCGGUUUUUGGUGGGCAUCACAGGUGUGAUAACUAUCUACGCUUGUGGUUUUCCACCAGGGUAACCUUCAGCAGUGGAGGUUCACUGGAGCUUACAAAUGUCUCUCCUCUGUGAGGACAGCCCUUUGAAUGUUUGAUCUCAAAUCAGGUAGGACUACCCGCUGAACUUAAGCAUAUCAAUAAGCGGAGGA